This 1003-nucleotide ribosomal RNA is filed under the name Pseudocenococcum floridanum. Its description in RNAcentral is "SSU rRNA". It matches the Rfam family "Eukaryotic small subunit ribosomal RNA", at positions 95 to 1106 of the family's 1831-position model. Lineage: Eukaryota; Fungi; Ascomycota; Dothideomycetes; Gloniales; Gloniaceae. The record is from RNAcentral.
GGCUCAUUAAAUCAGUUAUCGUUUAUUUGAUAGUACCUUACUACAUGGAUAACCGUGGUAAUUCUAGAGCUAAUACAUGCUAAAAACCCCGACUUCGGGAGGGGUGUAUUUAUUAGAUAAAAAACCAACGCCCUUCGGGGCUUCUUGGUGAUUCAUAAUAACUUAACGAAUCGCAUGGCCUUGCGCCGGCGAUGGUUCAUUCAAAUUUCUGCCCUAUCAACUUUCGAUGGUAGGAUAGUGGCCUACCAUGGUAUCAACGGGUAACGGGGAAUUAGGGUUCUAUUCCGGAGAGGGAGCCUGAGAAACGGCUACCACAUCCAAGGAAGGCAGCAGGCGCGCAAAUUACCCAAUCCCGACGCGGGGAGGUAGUGACAAUAAAUACUGAUACAGGGCUCUUUUGGGUCUUGUAAUUGGAAUGAGUACAAUUUAAAUCCCUUAACGAGGAACAAUUGGAGGGCAAGUCUGGUGCCAGCAGCCGCGGUAAUUCCAGCUCCAAUAGCGUAUAUUAAAGUUGUUGCAGUUAAAAAGCUCGUAGUUGAACCUUGGGCCUGGCUGGCCGGUCCGCCUCACCGCGUGCACUGGUCCGGCCGGGCCUUUCCUUCUGGGGAGCCGCAUGCCCUUCACUGGGUGUGUCGGGGAACCAGGACUUUUACUUUGAAAAAAUUAGAGUGUUCAAAGCAGGCCUUUGCUCGAAUACAUUAGCAUGGAAUAAUAGAAUAGGACGUGCGGUCCUAUUUUGUUGGUUUCUAGGACCGCCGUAAUGAUUAAUAGGGAUAGUCGGGGGCAUCAGUAUUCAAUUGUCAGAGGUGAAAUUCUUGGAUUUAUUGAAGACUAACUACUGCGAAAGCAUUUGCCAAGGAUGUUUUCAUUAAUCAGUGAACGAAAGUUAGGGGAUCGAAGACGAUCAGAUACCGUCGUAGUCUUAACCGUAAACUAUGCCGACUAGGGAUCGGGCGAUGUUAUCAUUUUGACUCGCUCGGCACCUUACGAGAAAUCAAAGUCU